Molecule: transfer RNA, 90 nt
Filed under: Candidatus Falkowbacteria bacterium RBG_13_39_14
Lineage: Bacteria; Candidatus Falkowiibacteriota
Description: tRNA-Ser
Rfam family: tRNA
About the family: Transfer RNA (tRNA) molecules are approximately 80 nucleotides in length. Their secondary structure includes four short double-helical elements and three loops (D, anti-codon, and T loops).
Source: RNAcentral
GGAGAGGUGUCUGAGUGGUUGAAGGAGCCGCUCUCGAAAAGCGGUGUGCCCGCAAGGGUACCGGGGGUUCGAAUCCCCCCCUCUCCGCCA